This 88-nucleotide unclassified non-coding RNA is filed under the name Pseudomonas azotoformans. Lineage: Bacteria; Pseudomonadati; Pseudomonadota; Gammaproteobacteria; Pseudomonadales; Pseudomonadaceae. The record is from RNAcentral.
GUGGGAGGGGGCUUGCCCCCGAUGGCGGUGGAUCAGUCAGAUCUAACAGUGCCUGACACUCCGCUAUCGGGGGCAAGCCCCCUCCCAC